Molecule: ribosomal RNA, 468 nt
Filed under: uncultured bacterium
Lineage: Bacteria
Description: partial 16S ribosomal RNA
Rfam family: Bacterial small subunit ribosomal RNA
Source: RNAcentral
GAUGAACGCUGGCGGCGUGCUUAACACAUGCAAGUCGAACGGAAAGGCCCUGCUUUUGUGGGGUGCUCGAGUGGCGAACGGGUGAGUAACACGUGAGUAACCUGCCCUUGACUUUGGGAUAACUUCAGGAAACUGGGGCUAAUACCGGAUAGGAGCUCCUGCUGCAUGGUGGGGGUUGGAAAGUUUCGGCGGUUGGGGAUGGACUCGCGGCUUAUCAGCUUGUUGGUGGGGUAGUGGCUUACCAAGGCUUUGACGGGUAGCCGGCCUGAGAGGGUGACCGGCCACAUUGGGACUGAGAUACGGCCCAGACUCCUACGGGGGGCAGAAGUGGGGAAUAUUGCACAAUGGGCGGAAGCCUGAUGCAGCAACGCCGCGUGCGGGAUGACGGCCUUCGGGUUGUAAACCGCUUUCGCCUGUGACGAAGCGUGAGUGACGGUAAUGGGUAAAGAAGCACCGGCUAACUACGUG